Molecule: long non-coding RNA, 561 nt
Filed under: Vigna radiata
Lineage: Eukaryota; Viridiplantae; Streptophyta; Magnoliopsida; Fabales; Fabaceae
Description: long non-coding RNA (VRAD_LNC002588)
Source: RNAcentral
CUACAGUUCAACAGGAUGUCCAAAUUCCUGUUAUGGCUCGUGUAAACGAUUAUAGGGUCUUGUAAUCGAUUACAAACCUCUAUUUCACACCAACUUCACUGGACUUGAGGUUUCCAUCAUGGGUGGUCUCUCCUGCAUGUUGGGGGACCCAAAACAUAUGCUUCAACUAACUAAUCACUCAGGAAAGAAAAAAACACUGGUUCAAUCAAGGAUUUCCAUACAAAACACCGAGUGGUCCUCCACGUUGAAACUGGUGGCGCCUACAGUUCAACAGGAUGUCCAAAUUCCUGUUAUGGCUNGUGUAAACGAUUACAGGGUCUUGUAAUCGAUUACAAACCUCUAUUUCACACCUACUCCACUGGACUUGAGGUUUCCAUCAUGGGUGGUCUCUCCCUGCAUGUUGGGGGACCCAAAACAUAAGCUUCAACUAACUAAUCACUCAGGAAACAAAAAAACACUNCUUCAAUCAAGGAUUUCCAUACAAAACACAGAGUGGUCCUCCACGUUGAAACUGGUGGCGCCUACAGUUCAACAGGAUGUCCAAAUUCCUGUUAUGGCUCG